Molecule: long non-coding RNA, 1645 nt
Organism: Triticum aestivum (bread wheat)
Lineage: Eukaryota; Viridiplantae; Streptophyta; Magnoliopsida; Poales; Poaceae
Exons: 4
Source: RefSeq, a predicted model, not a curated record
UCCCCUCCCCACCGUACGCCCACCCAUGAUCUCCCGUUCCUCUCGCAAACCACCAGGUAGUUUCGUCCCCCACCCUCACCCCCACCAGCCCGGCAGCACUUUCCGCACCACCAUCCUUCUCUUCCGCUUGCGUGCACUUGCCCCGCCCGCACCUCCCACAUGAUCUUCAUCGCCGCCACCUGGCCUGCCUCUGGAAACCGGCACCAUCACGCGACCGGCCGUGGAUCCGCUCGAGGGGUAGAUGGAGCAGGGCUGCGGUUCUUGCCGGCGCAAGGAGAGCGAACAGGAGAGCGUCCCGGCCGGAGGAGAGGACGACAGGAGACAGUCGGCCAUGGAUGCGGAGGUGUUUGCAUCAGGUACGAGCAGAGGUGACGACGGAGUGGCUUGGGCUUCAGCACUCGCGCUGCUGAUGGAGGGCCACCGUCGCUGUUCGACGGGGUGGCUCGCUGCCGCUAGGGUGUGGUGCUGCGCCGUGCCCGACACCGCUCGCUUUCCUCCCGCCGACCUCUUUUCCUUCGAGAUCUCUCUAGAUGUCAUUCUCCUGGCCGACCUAGCUUGUGUGCCUGCCGCCGCUUCACACACAAGCGCCGCACCUUUCUGUCAUCCCGGCUAGCGUCCCGAUUGCCGCCUCUUGCCUCUCCAUUCUCCCCCGCGUCUGGCUGCCCUCCUCCUCCCCUUGCCUCCGUGACGUUGCCUCCAAUGUUGGAAAGAGCGAUUCAGACAUGGUAUUGGCUGAUGAUAACUUCGCUACAAUUGUUGCAGUAAGAUUCACCCUGUGUCGCAGGGGCUUAUAAUUCAUGAAGCUGAUCGCAAACUUGAGCAAAAUUUUGAGGAGGACAUGAAACAAAUAUUUAAGCGCCUCCCUCGGGCUCUCUGCUCGAAAUGUCUGCUGAGCAUCUUCUUCAUUGAGCCAAAAUCAAUUGCUUGGUGCAGUUCCAGUUUGUUCUUACUAUCCAAUACUAAUUUAUAAGAGGCUACAAUCUCAAGCAGGUUCAUGGUUCUGAAGUUAAUUCCUUUCAGCUUCAAACUGAAAUAAUUCCUCUCUGUUCCCGCACCAUGGAGACGGGCACUAAACUUUCAAAAACAAUAUGAAGUUAACCCUUUCUGUACAUCCGAUGACCCUAUUGUUCUGGUAAAUGUUUUCAUUAUUGCCUAAUUGUGCAAGUGAUUGACACUUUCUGGUUGUGCUAAAUUUCAGUCCUAUAAAUUUUCUUUGAGUAUGUUAAAAAGAUGGAGCCAUAUCUCACUGGGAUUUGUGCAGUAAACUGUUUUUCUUUUCCAUUCUUGCAAAUGAGGCACAUGAUAGAUCACAUCUAUGUAGAGUAUUGGAGAUCCAUGCCCCAUGUUGUUGUCCAGAAUUGAAACAUUUAACAAUACCAGUUCACCAAAUAUUGCCCCGAGGAUUACAGGCAAGCAGUACCAAUCUGGAUGAUUGGUACAGGCAGGCUACCCUUAUGCUUGACGAGGAAUCUGCAACGUAAUGGAACAAGUAAAUAUUAAAGGUGUUGCAGUUUAGGUGGCAUUUUUUUUACAAAGGGCGGAGCGAGUUUCUUUCUUCUUUUUCCCGAUGAGCAUGUUGACCCUUGUGGACAAUUGUACAUGGCACCUUCCUGAUGUAUGAGUUCAUUUAAGGUUAUAUUCUUUU